This 137-nucleotide ribosomal RNA is filed under the name uncultured bacterium. RNAcentral describes it as "partial 16S ribosomal RNA". It matches the Rfam family "Bacterial small subunit ribosomal RNA", at positions 355 to 509 of the family's 1533-position model. The record is from RNAcentral.
UGGGGAAUAUUGCACAAUGGGGGAAACCCUGAUGCAGCGACGCCGCGUGAAGGAAGAAGUAUCUCGGUAUGUAAACUUCUAUCAGCAGGGAAGACAAUGACGGUACCUGACUAAGAACGCCCGGCUAACUACGUGCC